Long non-coding RNA from Solenopsis invicta (red fire ant), 794 nucleotides. RefSeq lists it as uncharacterized. The record is from RefSeq and is a predicted model, not a curated record. The transcript is spliced from 2 exons. Lineage: Eukaryota; Metazoa; Arthropoda; Insecta; Hymenoptera; Formicidae.
AACAUGUAAAUUUGUAUAUUUUUCUGCAAACUUAUAUAUACACAUAUAUAACAUGUAUCCGACAUCGAAAAGAAUUCUGGAGCGCUCGGUCCAUCGACAUUAUCGCGCGCGAGCGAGCGGAGGGAGUGAGAGGGAAAGACUAGCUCUAGUGCAUGAUCUUCGAAACGAGCCGAGGCGUGACACGGCGCGCGCGACGAUUCGGUCAGCGCGACAUGUUUCGUGGCCAGGCGAGCGCGCGGUCGCGGGAGAAACGCGCGCACGCACAUGUCUCGGUAUCACUGCGGAGAUCGGAGAGAGGGAAGGAAAGUGAUGGGGCGCAAAAUUACGGUGAAGUUAUAGUUGACAUAAACAUUUUAGUGUGUGUUUAAAUGUCGUCAACCUAACCUAACCUGUCCCUGUCCAAAAGAGGAUAUAAUGCAGAGGUGUAGGAUACCUAUAAUGACAAUAUAAUGUCGAAAGGUUUCUGUCAUCACAGACUGUUUACAGUGCGAAAAGAGAUAGCGUAGUGUCAAAGUGCAAUGUAUAUUGCCAACACAUUACGUCCUUAUUCAACAGCAGAAACCCAACAGGUCGGACAAAAAAUGUUUCGCAUAAACUCAUCCGCCUACAAAACGGCCCGAGCGUGCCUGUCGAAAUAUACGGUACUGAGUUGGGCAGUUUCGUUUGUUGAAAAGACAAGGAUGAGUGCAGAACUCAAAUGAUAAUGGAUCUAAAAAUAUCGAUAUUAUCGACAUUUUUAGUUCCACUUAGUAGAUGGCGCAGGACCGUCGGAGUUCGGCCGUCACUCCAGCAUC